RNAcentral lists this ribosomal RNA (425 nucleotides) under uncultured bacterium. Its description in RNAcentral is "partial 16S ribosomal RNA". It matches the Rfam family "Bacterial small subunit ribosomal RNA", at positions 354 to 796 of the family's 1533-position model. The record is from RNAcentral.
GUGGGGAAUAUUGGACAAUGGGCGCAAGCCUGAUCCAGCCAUGCCGCGUGAGUGAUGAAGGCCCUAGGGUUGUAAAGCUCUUUUGUGCGGGAAGAUAAUGACGGUACCGCAAGAAUAAGCCCCGGCUAACUUCGUGCCAGCAGCCGCGGUAAUACGAAGGGGGCUAGCGUUGCUCGGAAUCACUGGGCGUAAAGGGUGCGUAGGCGGGUCUUUAAGUCAGGGGUGAAAUCCUGGAGCUCAACUCCAGAACUGCCUUUGAUACUGAAGAUCUUGAGUUCGGGAGAGGUGAGUGGAACUGCGAGUGUAGAGGUGAAAUUCGUAGAUAUUCGCAAGAACACCAGUGGCGAAGGCGGCUCACUGGCCCGAUACUGACGCUGAGGCACGAAAGCGUGGGGAGCAAACAGGAUUAGAUACCCCAGUAGUCC